This 429-nucleotide ribosomal RNA is filed under the name Bacillota bacterium. RNAcentral describes it as "Firmicutes bacterium partial 16S ribosomal RNA". It matches the Rfam family "Bacterial small subunit ribosomal RNA", at positions 355 to 776 of the family's 1533-position model. Lineage: Bacteria; Bacillati; Bacillota. The record is from RNAcentral.
UAGGGAAUCUUCGGCAAUGGACGGAAGUCUGACCGAGCAACGCCGCGUGAGUGAAGAAGGUUUUCGGAUCGUAAAGCUCUGUUGUUAGAGAAGAACGUUGGUAGGAGUGGAUAAUCUACCAAGUGACGGUAACUAACCAGAAAGGGACGGCUAACUACGUGCCAGCAGCCGCGGUAAUACGUAGGUCCCGAGCGUUGUCCGGAUUUAUUGGGCGUAAAGCGAGCGCAGGCGGUUCUUUAAGUCUGAAGUUAAAGGCAGUGGCUUAACCAUUGUACGCUUUGGAAACUGGAGGACUUGAGUGCAGAAGGGGAGAGUGGAAUUCCAUGUGUAGCGGUGAAAUGCGUAGAUAUAUGGAGGAACACCGGUGGCGAAAGCGGCUCUCUGGUCUGUAACUGACGCUGAGGCUCGAAAGCGUGGGGAGCAAACAGG